This is a long non-coding RNA of Austrofundulus limnaeus, 1107 nucleotides long. RefSeq lists it as uncharacterized. NCBI's taxonomy places the organism in Eukaryota, Metazoa, Chordata, Actinopteri, Cyprinodontiformes, Rivulidae. The transcript has 2 exons. The record is from RefSeq and is a predicted model, not a curated record.
UUUGCGGACUCUGUGCGUGCAGCGUGUCCGCGCUGUGGCAGCUCGCCGUGCGCCUUUGCGCGCACCAGGAAGAAACCAACCGCGCGACAAUGAAAAUCCGAAGUGAAACUCACCAGACAUGAUGGCUGAGAGGAGCAGUGGAUCCUGAGGGAGACCUUUGGAACUCCACAACCGUCUUUUCUGCCUCAGCAAAAAUGGCCAAGAAUGAAAAUUGAGCAAAAGUCUCCAAAAAACAGAAAGCAGAAGGCUUCCAGCUGGAUCAGAGCAUACAACAAUAUUGUAAUAUAGCUGGGAACAUAUUAAAUAGAGCUUUUCUCCCUCCAUGCCUACUAUUUAAAACCCCUAGAACUCAAUGAUUUGACAAUGAUUUGAUUGCGCGUUACUUACAAUUUGAAUAUUCAGAAGCAACUCUUAAAAAUCGAUUUUUCAGUCAAAAUGACCACGCUGGGACUUUGUAAAAGCCCUGUUUUAAUAUAUUAUAUUAUUAUUUUAUAGUUUAUCCAGAAAAAAACACACUUUUAUGGAUUUUAUGCAUCUUUUGACACAUGGCAGCAUCAGAGCCCUGAUUAAAGCCUGCAGCUCCAGGAGCCUGUUCUGUGCAGCUUUAAAGCAGGUUUUAUCCUCAAACCUGUCAUCACACAUAUGUAGUUAUUCUGCAGCCUGUUCAGCUGACUGUAAACAUUUUGUAACGUUUUAAAAAGAAUAAAAGGCAUAAAAGUGAGUUAGGGGGCGUGGCAAAGAGCAGCAGCCAUCUUUGCCAUGGCAGGCCUUCAGGUGCAGCAGGAGCUGCUUCAACCCGGAAGGAAACUCAGCUUUUUUUAAAAACUUCAGAAAUAUUAAUAUUAAUAUUAAUAAUAAUAAUAAUUUCAUAAUUUCUUUUUAAUUUACUCCACGAAACAGUGACUUUAUUUUUGAUCAAAUAAACCACUUAAUUGGCCAUUUUUGAACUGGUUUCAUUAAUCAUUUUUGUUUCAAAGGAUUAAAAUUAACAAAAAUAAAAAAAUAAAAAAUAAUUAAAUAAUCAAUUUCGGUGUUUAAUAGCACAGUUAAAUGAAAUAUAAUAUUCUGAACAUAGAUUUAUUUGGUAAAAUAAACAAUUUAAAUAUC